GAUGAACGCUGGCGGCGUGCUUAACACAUGCAAGUCGAACGAAGCACCUUAUUCUGAUUUCUUCGGAAUGAAAAAUUUGGUGACUGAGUGGCGGACGGGUGAGUAACGCGUGGGUAACCUGCCUCAUACAGGGGGAUAACAGUUAGAAAUGACUGCUAAUACCGCAUAAGACCACAGCACCGCAUGGUGCAGGGGUAAAAACUCCGGUGGUAUGAGAUGGACCCGCGUCUGAUUAGGUAGUUGGUGGGGUAACGGCCUACCAAGCCGACGAUCAGUAGCCGACCUGAGAGGGUGACCGGCCACAUUGGGACUGAGACACGGCCCAAACUCCUACGGGAGGCAGCAGUGGGGAAUAUUGCACAAUGGGGGAAACCCUGGUGCAGCGACGCCGCGUGAGCGAUGAAGUAUUUCGGUAUGUAAAGCUCUAUCAGCAGGGAAGAAAAUGACGGUACCUGACUAAGAAGCACCGGCUAAAUACGUGCCAGCAGCCGCUGUAA
RNAcentral lists this ribosomal RNA (497 nucleotides) under uncultured bacterium. RNAcentral describes it as "partial 16S ribosomal RNA". It matches the Rfam family "Bacterial small subunit ribosomal RNA", at positions 28 to 523 of the family's 1533-position model. The record is from RNAcentral.